This is a long non-coding RNA of Saccostrea cuccullata (small rock oyster), 331 nucleotides long. RefSeq lists it as uncharacterized. The record is from RefSeq and is a predicted model, not a curated record. The transcript is spliced from 2 exons. Lineage: Eukaryota; Metazoa; Mollusca; Bivalvia; Ostreida; Ostreidae.
AUGAUAUUGUGUAUGCACCAAAAUUGACAAAAAACUAUUUAUUAUAAUCAGUCAGGACAUUGUACUAUAAGGGCAUUAUACACUUCCGGUGUAAACAGCUUACUCAGGAACUGAGGAAGCAGAAUGUUCAAGGCAACCAGAAGCUUGAGUCCAUCCUGAACAUAGAGACAACACAGAUAUUAGCAGAGCUGGAUAAUAUUGCUAGAGGAUUAGUUAAUGCAACUCAGCAAGGACUAGUGAUGGAUAUGUUCCAGGUUCCACAGCUAGGAGAAUGUCAGGAAGAAAAGCCUCAUCAUUAAAAGUGUUACAGGUGAAUUAUUUAGGAAUUUAA